Molecule: ribosomal RNA, 462 nt
Filed under: Xenorhabdus sp.
Lineage: Bacteria; Pseudomonadati; Pseudomonadota; Gammaproteobacteria; Enterobacterales; Morganellaceae
Description: bacterial SSU rRNA
Rfam family: Bacterial small subunit ribosomal RNA
Source: RNAcentral
AUUGAACGCUGGCGGCAGGCCUAACACAUGCAAGUCGGGCGGCAGCGGGGGAAAGCGUGCUUUCCUGCCGGCGAGCGGCGGACGGGUGAGUAAUGUCUGGGGAUCUGCCCGAUGGAGGGGGAUAACCACUGGAAACGGUGGCUAAUACCGCAUGAACUCUGAGGAGCAAGGUGGGGGACCUUCGGGCCUCACGCCAUCGGAUGAACCCAGAUGGGAUUAGCUAGUAGGUGGGGUAACGGCUCACCUAGGCGACGAUCCCUAGCUGGUCUGAGAGGAUGACCAGCCACACUGGGACUGAGACACGGCCCAGACUCCUACGGGAGGCAGCAGUGGGGAAUAUUGCACAAUGGGCGCAAGCCUGAUGCAGCCAUGCCGCGUGUAUGAAGAAGGCCUUCGGGUUGUAAAGUACUUUCAGCGGGGAGGAAGGCGUGAAACCGAAUACGUUCACGAUUGACGUACCCG